RNAcentral lists this ribosomal RNA (727 nucleotides) under uncultured marine Syndiniales. RNAcentral describes it as "SSU rRNA". It matches the Rfam family "Eukaryotic small subunit ribosomal RNA", at positions 59 to 796 of the family's 1831-position model. Lineage: Eukaryota; Dinophyceae; Syndiniales. The record is from RNAcentral.
CUCAGUAUGAGUGUUCACAUCACGAAACUGCGAAUGGCUCAUUAAAACAGUUAUAGUUCACUUGAUAGUCAAUCGUUAUACGGAUAACUGCGGUAAUUCUGGAGCUAAUACGUGCACAAAGACCUGACUUCAAGGAAAGGUCGUGUUCAUUAGAUACAGAAACAAUCCCUUCGGGGUUUUUGGAUGAUUCAUAAUGAAGGAACGGAGCGUAUGACUUGUGUCGACGCUGUUUCAUUCAAGUUCCUGACCUAUCAGCUUCCGACGGUAGGGUAUUGGCCUACCGUGGCAUUGAUGGGUAACGGAGAAUUAGGGUUCGAUUCCGGAGAGGGAGCCUUAAAAACGGCUACCACAUCUAAGGAAGGCAGCAGGCGCGCAAAUUACCCAAUCCUGAUACAGGGAGGUAGUGACAAGAAAUAACACAGAGAGUGCUUAUUGCAUUUCUCUUUGGAAUGAGUAGAAUUUAAAUCUCUUUUCGACUAUCAAUUGGAGGGCAAGUCUGGUGCCAGCAGCCGCGGUAAUUCCAGCUCCAAUAGCGUAUAUUAAAGUUGUUGCGGUUAAAAAGCUCGUAGUUGGAUUUCUGUCGAGAACGCGCGGUCUACGCUUUGCGUGAGCAUCUGUGUCGGUCUUGGCACCCUCUAGAGGAUCGUUUCUGCGCUUGAUUGCGUGGAGCGGAACUCUAGACUUUUACUUUGAGGAAAUUAGAGUGUUCACGGCAGGCAAACGCCUU